GUUGUUAGCUCAGUUGGUUAGAGUGUGGUGCUGAUAACACGAAGGUAGCAGGUUUGAUCCCUGUAGGUAGGGGACAGCUACA
Podarcis lilfordi (Lilford's wall lizard) is the source of this 82-nucleotide non-coding RNA. The record is from the annotation of a GenBank genome assembly. NCBI's taxonomy places the organism in Eukaryota, Metazoa, Chordata, Lepidosauria, Squamata, Lacertidae.